AGAAUGAACGCUGGCGGCGUGCUUUACACAUGCAAGUCGAGCGAGGCGGGUAGCAAUACCCAGUCGAGCGGCGAACGGGUGAGUAACACGUGGAUCAUCUACCUUCAGGUGGGGGAGUAACCCGGGAAACUCGGGCUAAUACCGCAUAACAUCGCGAGAUCGAAAGGGGCGCAAGGUCCCCGCCGAGAAGAGGAGUCCGCGUUCGAUUAGCUAGUUGGUAGGGUAAUGGCCUACCAGGCCACGAUCGAUAGCCGGCUGAGAGGUGAUCGGCCACACUGGAACUGAGACACGGUCCAGACUCCGUACGGGAGCAGCAGUGGGAAUUUGCGCAAUGGGCGAAAGCCGUAGACGCAGACAACGGCCGACGUCGGAGGAUGAAAGGUCGUUUAGGAGUUCGUAAACGUUCCUGUU
Molecule: ribosomal RNA, 411 nt
Filed under: uncultured soil bacterium
Lineage: Bacteria
Description: bacterial SSU rRNA
Rfam family: Bacterial small subunit ribosomal RNA
Source: RNAcentral